This 320-nucleotide ribosomal RNA is filed under the name uncultured Pseudomonas sp. RNAcentral's name for it is "bacterial SSU rRNA". It matches the Rfam family "Bacterial small subunit ribosomal RNA", at positions 1062 to 1382 of the family's 1533-position model. The record is from RNAcentral. Lineage: Bacteria; Pseudomonadati; Pseudomonadota; Gammaproteobacteria; Pseudomonadales; Pseudomonadaceae.
GUGUCGUGAGAUGUUGGGUUAAGUCCCGUAACGAGCGCAACCCUUGUCCUUAGUUACCAGCACGUUAUGGUGGGCACUCUAAGGAGACUGCCGGUGACAAACCGGAGGAAGGUGGGGAUGACGUCAAGUCAUCAUGGCCCUUACGGCCUGGGCUACACACGUGCUACAAUGGUCGGUACAAAGGGUUGCCAAGCCGCGAGGUGGAGCUAAUCCCAUAAAACCGAUCGUAGUCCGGAUCGCAGUCUGCAACUCGACUGCGUGAAGUCGGAAUCGCUAGUAAUCGUGAAUCAGAAUGUCACGGUGAUACGUUCCCGGGCCUU